Non-coding RNA from Nicotiana tabacum (common tobacco), 1903 nucleotides. Lineage: Eukaryota; Viridiplantae; Streptophyta; Magnoliopsida; Solanales; Solanaceae. The record is from RefSeq and is a predicted model, not a curated record.
AUCAUUAUCCUUUAAUGUGUAGUUUUUUUCAAAUCCUUAUUUGGAUAAUUCGGCUAGACGAAAAUCCCUUGAAUUAAGAAAAUUGAAAUUGCAGAAGCCCCAAAUCUUCGAGCAAAUUGGAAAGUGAGGAGGAAAUGGAAGGCAGCGAGAGCGAGAAAGAGUUCGAUUCAUUGAACCUAAAUCCGAAACUCUUCGUCAACGAGGCCCUCAAUAUUGUAGACGAGUUAGUUGACGAUGCUUUUGAUUUCUUCCACCAAGAGGCAGCAAAUCUUCUGAAAACUGAAGGCACUAAUCGAUCGGAAGAUCUAAAAGAGGGUGUGGCUGAAAUUAAGUAAAUGAUCCAAUUGACUCUGGACAAGCGGUUGAGUUUAUGGGAGAAGUACUGUUUGCACAACUGCUUUAAGGUUCCGCAUGGGUUCUCUUUGCCUAAAGCUGAUGGACCGUCUGGUGACACUUCAUUUGAUAUUAAUGCUGUUGAGAAUCCUGAACUAGAUGAAAAGUUGGAUUUCUUAAGGAACAAGAUUUCUGAGAGUCUGCUGAGCUCAACAGAGAACUACAAGCUCUCGAAAGGCAGUCCAUGUUAAGUGACCACUCUGCUGCUUCUCUUACUGAAGCGUUGGAGUUGUAUCAGCAACUGGCAGCGGAUGAGAAGUUUGAAGAACUGGUACGAACUGCAUCAGAUUUUCAAACCAAAGUGGAGAAUUUGGCAACCAGAAUGGUGGAGGACACUGAGCACCGAAGAGCAAAAAAAAUUCGCACUUCAAAUGGGGAAAUGUUUAGAUUGAACAAUGAUGAAGGCCUACUGAGUGCGACACUGGAGGAACUUCAAGUAUUUGGGGAUGAUAUAAAGACUCUUCGUGACUAAACGGUGGCUUAAUUUACUGAUGCUGUGAAGAAGUGUUCUUGUAGGUUCUUAGUAAUGUAAGAAUUUUUCUCUAGUUAAUUGAAAAUGCUGAGGCCUCAGAAAACCUAUAGUAAUGUUAGGAGGAAUUUCUUCAGUUGAAGGCCUUGGCUUUCUAGUUGAAGUCUGAUUUAGUCAUCAAACCAAACUCUAAAACACCUUGCUAGGAUGUUAUUUUGCCAGAAGUAUUGUCUGCACUUAUUGAAGUUAGUAUCUCCCUUCCUGCAUCUUAUAGGACCAGUAUGAAGAGAUUGAUAUGAUAACAAAGGGUGGAAACUAUGGUUGGUCCAUCUACGAAGGCCCUUAUCCCUACAAACCAAGCAAUGCCACAAAAGAAAGCACUUGUUCUAGCUCCAAUAGUCUCAUAUUCACAGUCAGGGGAUACAACCACUCUGAAGCUGAUAAGACUAUUGGUUCUGCUUCCAUAACUGGUGGCUACUUCUGUAGGUCUCAAAUUGAUCCCUGUCUUUAUGGAAGGUACUUGUACAUAGACUUACAUCCAGAUGGAAUAUGGUCAGGUACUGAAAAUCCUGAAAAUAGUAGAAAUUUCACAAGUUCAAAAAUCCAAUAUAGGUGCGUGCAAGAUUCUCCAAUACAUUGUGAGUCAAUUGCAGAGGGUAUUAUGCCUGCUAUAGGAUACGUUUUCUCCUUAGGGGAAGACAGUAGAAAAGACAUUUAUAUAUUGACAAGCACAGGCGUCUACAGAGUUGCACGUACAAGCAGGUGUAGUUACCAUUGUUCCAAAGAAAAAUUAGUAACCAGUAAACCUCCUCCUGCUGCUUCAUUGUCUGGAGAAUUAUGGAAGGGCGUAAAACACCCUGCCCUUUGCAUUUCUUCCAUUGUGCUACUUCUAUUGAAUCUUGCUUUCUAAGCCUUGAAAUGGGGAUAGGUAAUCUUGCUGUUAAUAAUUACCUAACAAGUUGCAAAAUCUGUGCCUUUUUUCCUCUCUUCUGUUUUUGCUGUUUUUAAUAUACACUAUUUGACAUUGCUUUAAAGUUUAUA